CUGGGAGGACCAUCUCCUAAGGCUAAAUACUCUCUAGUGACCGAUAGUGAACCAGUACCGUGAGGGAAAGGUGAAAAGCACCCCGGAAGGGGAGUGAAAUAGAACCUGAAACCGUGUGCUUACAAGUAGUCAGAGCCCGUUAAUGGGUGAUGGCGUGCCUUUUGUAGAAUGAACCGGCGAGUUACGAUUUGAUGCAAGGUUAAGCAGUAAAUGUGGAGCCGUAGCGAAAGCGAGUCUGAAUAGGGCGUUUAGUAUUUGGUCGUAGACCCGAAACCAGGUGAUCUACCCUUGGUCAGGUUGAAGUUCAGGUAACACUGAAUGGAGGACCGAACCGACUUACGUUGAAAAGUGAGCGGAUGAACUGAGGGUAGCGGAGAAAUUCCAAUCGAACCUGGAGAUAGCUGGUUCUCUCCGAAAUAGCUUUAGGGCUAGCCUCAAGUGAUGAUUAUUGGAGGUAGAGCACUGUUUGGACGAGGGGCCCCUCUCGGGUUACCGAAUUCAGACAAACUCCGAAUGCCAAUUAAUUUAACUUGGGAGUCAGAACAUGGGUGAUAAGGUCCGUGUUCGAAAGGGAAACAGCCCAGACCACCAGCUAAGGUCCCAAAAUAUAUGUUAAGUGGAAAAGGAUGUGGCGUUGCCCAGACAACUAGGAUGUUGGCUUAGAAGCAGCCAU
RNAcentral lists this ribosomal RNA (673 nucleotides) under Staphylococcus aureus. RNAcentral's name for it is "partial 23S ribosomal RNA". It matches the Rfam family "Bacterial large subunit ribosomal RNA", at positions 444 to 1119 of the family's 2925-position model. The record is from RNAcentral. Lineage: Bacteria; Bacillati; Bacillota; Bacilli; Caryophanales; Staphylococcaceae.